RNAcentral lists this long non-coding RNA (541 nucleotides) under Sus scrofa (pig). Its description in RNAcentral is "lncRNA (ENSSSCG00065076228.1)". Lineage: Eukaryota; Metazoa; Chordata; Mammalia; Artiodactyla; Suidae. The record is from RNAcentral.
GGUGACUCAAGGGUAACCAUUGCCUAAAUUGGAUGUGAAAGGCCCAGCUCCCGGGCUGGAAAUCGAUGCAUUCACACUUUCUCUAUUGCUCCCUCAAGGUGGGCUGUGCUAUGUAUGAACUUUCCUAGAAGAGAAGCUGGAGUGUGACCAUGACAUCUGCCAGUGGAAGUGGAGACAGUCACAUCCUCAUUAAGAGGGGGCUCAAACUUCAGUGUGCGUGAGAAUUACUCAGACAGCUUAUUCGGUCACAGAUGGCUGAUUCAGUAGGGCUGAACCAGACUCAGAACACCUGGUCUAUAGGAACCACAGGAGGUUAGAGAAGGGAAGAACCAGCACAGACUCUGGUGGUGGAGAAGUUCAGGUGUGUGUAACAACACCCCUCCUUCCUGCCAUCUGAUCCUACCGAUUCAUCAAGGGCUCAAUGGCCUCCUCCGUGUUCCCGCUUUUCAAAGUGUGAGUCAGCCUCUCUAACUCUGGAUUACUGUCUAAUUUGAUCUGGUCAGUUCUGAAGAUAUUAGGUAAUAUUAGACCCAUCUCCGGC